This 490-nucleotide ribosomal RNA is filed under the name uncultured bacterium. RNAcentral describes it as "partial 16S ribosomal RNA". It matches the Rfam family "Bacterial small subunit ribosomal RNA", at positions 30 to 507 of the family's 1533-position model. The record is from RNAcentral.
AUUGAACGCUGGCGGCAGGCCUAACACAUGCAAGUCGAACGGUAACAGGAAGAAGCUUGCUUCUUUGCUGACGAGUGGCGGACGGGUGAGUAAUGUCUGGGAAACUGCCUGAUGGAGGGGGAUAACUACUAGAAACGGUAGCUAAUACCGCAUAACGUCGCAAGACCAAAAAGGGGGACCUUCGGGCCUCUUGCCAUCGGAUGUGCCCAGAUGGGAUUAGCUAGUAGGUGGGGUAACGGCUCACCUAGGCGACGAUCCCUAGCUGGUCUGAGAGGAUGACCAGCCACACUGGAACUGAGACACGGUCCAGACUCCUACGGGAGGCAGCAGUGGGGAAUAUUGCACAAUGGGCGCAAGCCUGAUGCAGCCAUGCCGCGUGUAUGAAGAAGGCCUUCGGGUUGUAAAGUACUUUCAGCGGGGAGGAAGGGAGUAAAGUUAAUACCUUUGCUCAUUGACGUUACCCGCAGAAGAAGCACCGGCUAACUCCGUG